AAUAACUUGCCAGCUGGAGAGAUAUCGCAGAAUGCAAUUGCUUUUCAAAGCAUUUGUUGGCAUCUACCACCUGCGGCAGUGCAAGUAGAUAGGCAAGAGCCAGGGUCAUAUCCUUUGGUAAAGCAUCACUUGCCAGUUGUAACAGAACUUCUGUAGUUGGAAGUAGGUCCUUUGCUUCACUCUUCGUUUCUGUGAGUUUCUCUGUUCUCAACAAUACUUCCGCAAAACUUUCCAAAGAAUUGUUCUGGUACGUGCCAUAGCUGAUUUCAGAUUCUGCAACAUACGGGUCAGCAAUUAGAGACUCAUAAAAUGGAUGACAGCCUUGCUUUUCCACAGUGACAUUUUCUCCCAGCCCACUUUUUAAUACAUCCCCAAGUUCUUGCCCAUGUAACGGUCGAAGAUAAGUUAGUGAUCUCUUCCACCAUUGACCAUCACUGACAGCAUGCAGCAUGGCUUUUGUAGUCAUAGUUGUGUUAGACAACACCUUCAUGGUUUUUGCUGUUGUCCAGUACAAUAAAUCAGCAGACUGGCUAGCGGAGAUGUUGGUAUCAUCCUCUGUAUCCUUACUCAUCAGUGAAGAAGGUCCUGAGGUAU
This 594-nucleotide long non-coding RNA is filed under the name Gallus gallus (chicken). The record is from RNAcentral. Lineage: Eukaryota; Metazoa; Chordata; Aves; Galliformes; Phasianidae.